GAUGAACGCUGGCGGCGUGCCUAAUACAUGCAAGUCGAGCGAACAGACGAGGAGCUUGCUCCUCUGACGUUAGCGGCGGACGGGUGAGUAACACGUGGAUAACCUACCUAUAAGACUGGGAUAACUUCGGGAAACCGGAGCUAAUACCGGAUAAUAUAUUGAACCGCAUGGUUCAAUAGUGAAAGACGGUUUUGCUGUCACUUAUAGAUGGAUCCGCGCCGCAUUAGCUAGUUGGUAAGGUAACGGCUUACCAAGGCAACGAUGCGUAGCCGACCUGAGAGGGUGAUCGGCCACACUGGAACUGAGACACGGUCCAGACUACUACGGGAGGCAGCAGUAGGGAAUCUUCCGCAAUGGGCGAAAGCUUGACGGAGCAACGCCGCGUGAGUGAUGAAGGUCUUCGGAUCGUAAAACUCUGUUAUUAGGGAAGAACAAAUGUGUAAGUAACUAUGCACGGCUUGACGGUACCUAAUCAGAAAGCCACGGCUAACUACGUG
This 497-nucleotide ribosomal RNA is filed under the name uncultured bacterium. RNAcentral describes it as "partial 16S ribosomal RNA". It matches the Rfam family "Bacterial small subunit ribosomal RNA", at positions 28 to 507 of the family's 1533-position model. The record is from RNAcentral.